RNAcentral lists this ribosomal RNA (414 nucleotides) under bacterium enrichment culture clone ALO1_GLFRUDD03F6OZ7. Its description in RNAcentral is "bacterial SSU rRNA". It matches the Rfam family "Bacterial small subunit ribosomal RNA", at positions 9 to 425 of the family's 1533-position model. The record is from RNAcentral. RNAcentral also lists the same sequence under 3 other names.
GAGUUUGAUCAUGGCUCAGAUUGAACGCUGGCGGCAUGCCUUACACAUGCAAGUCGAACGGCAGCACGGGAGCUUGCUCCUGGUGGCGAGUGGCGAACGGGUGAGUAAUGCAUCGGAACGUAUCCUGGAGUGGGGGAUAACGUAGCGAAAGUUACGCUAAUACCGCAUAUUCUGUGAGCAGGAAAGCGGGGGACCUUCGGGCCUCGCGCUCUUGGAGCGGCCGAUGUCGGAUUAGCUAGUUGGUGAGGUAAAGGCUCACCAAGGCGACGAUCCGUAGCAGGUCUGAGAGGAUGAUCUGCCACACUGGAACUGAGACACGGUCCAGACUCCUACGGGAGGCAGCAGUGGGGAAUUUUGGACAAUGGGGGCAACCCUGAUCCAGCCAUGCCGCGUGAGUGAAGAAGGCCUCGGUUG